RNAcentral lists this ribosomal RNA (431 nucleotides) under uncultured bacterium. Its description in RNAcentral is "partial 16S ribosomal RNA". It matches the Rfam family "Bacterial small subunit ribosomal RNA", at positions 29 to 507 of the family's 1533-position model. The record is from RNAcentral.
AACGAACGCUGGCGGCAGGCUUAACACAUGCAAGUCGAGCGCCUCGCCAGAGGAGCGGCAGCCGGGUGAGUAACGCGUGGGAACGUACCCUUAUCUUCGGAAUAGCUCUGGGAAACUGGAAGUAAUACCGAAUGUGCCCUUAGGGGGAAAGAUUUAUCGGAUAAGGAUCGGCCCGCGUUGGAUUAGCUAGUUGGUGGGGUAAAGGCCUACCAAGGCGACGAUCCAUAGCUGGUCUGAGAGGAUGAUCAGCCACAUUGGGACUGAGACACGGCCCAAACUCCUACGGGAGGCAGCAGUGGGGAAUAUUGGACAAUGGGCGCAAGCCUGAUCCAGCCAUGCCGCGUGAGUGAUGAAGGCCUUAGGGUUGUAAAGCUCUUUCACCGGAGAAGAUAAUGACGGUAUCCGGAGAAGAAGCCCCGGCUAACUUCGUG